UGGGGAAUAUUGGACAAUGGGCGAAAGCCUGAUCCAGCCAUGCCGCGUGUGUGAAGAAGGUCUUCGGAUUGUAAAGCACUUUAAGUUGGGAGGAAGGGCAUUAACCUAAUACGUUAGUGUUUUGACGUUACCGACAGAAUAAGCACCGGCUAACUCUGUGCCAGCAGCCGCGGUAAUACAGAGGGUGCAAGCGUUAAUCGGAAUUACUGGGCGUAAAGCGCGCGUAGGUGGUUUGUUAAGUUGGAUGUGAAAUCCCCGGGCUCAACCUGGGAACUGCAUUCAAAACUGACUGACUAGAGUAUGGUAGAGGGUGGUGGAAUUUCCUGUGUAGCGGUGAAAUGCGUAGAUAUAGGAAGGAACACCAGUGGCGACGGCGACCACCUGGACUAAUACUGACACUGAGGUGCGAAAGCGUGGGGAGCAAACA
This 427-nucleotide ribosomal RNA is filed under the name uncultured bacterium. Its description in RNAcentral is "partial 16S ribosomal RNA". It matches the Rfam family "Bacterial small subunit ribosomal RNA", at positions 355 to 774 of the family's 1533-position model. The record is from RNAcentral.